CCAAUAUAAACGAUCUCUGGAGUCAGCAGCUCAGCAGACACGUCGGACGGGAUACUCUGCCUGGAAACACCGCAAACUAAUCGGAACCGGCGGCCGACAGAGACGGACGACUCUCGCAGGAGACGAGGGGUCGACUAGUUGUGAUUUGUUCUGUUGGUGACUGUGAUGAUGGGAGGAGAGCAGAGCCAUGAGAGGGAGGAGAGAGAGGAGAAGACUGAGCAACAACAGGAAUCUGCAAACACAGAUGGCUCGGGGUCUGCGUCUGCUGAAGACACACCAGGAGAGCUCCCCCAGUGCCAGAUGGGAAACAGGAGAGUGGACAAUAUGUGUUUCAUGAUCUCAUGCACCAACUGGUACUAAAAUGAACUGAGUUUAAGAGAAAAGAAGAAGCUGGAGUGACUUCUGUGCCCGAUGCCGCACUUCAUGAACUCAAAAUCCAAAAAGAUGCCAUCAGGAAGGUCCAACAUGCCUGGGUCUACUUUGGAAAAGACUUCCUGAGAGUGGUUUGAAGAUGAGCAGGGACCUUCUUUAAUGCUGGCUGUUUUACAGAGUGAAGAUGAAAAAAGAGGAGCCUAGUAUUCCCUAGUAUUCUGAAUUUCCUGAGGGAACCUUCCCAAAGGAUUAAUAAAGUAUCUAUCUAUCUAUCUAUCUAUCUAUCUAUCUAUCUAUCUAUCUAUCUAUCUAUCUAUCUAUCUAUCUAUCUAUCUAUCUAUCUAUCUAUCUAUCUAUCUAUCUAUCUAUCUAUCUAUCUAUCUACUUUCACACUAAAGACUGUUGGUUCAGUUUAACAACUAUAGGCUAAAGAGAAUACAGACUGUAAGUAUGUCCUAAGUAUUAAACCACAUCCCAUAAAUGCUCCUCCCUAUGAAACCCUGUUAAAAUAUUUGAAUAUGUUUUUGUUUUCCCUCUCUUAACAGGAUGAACCUGUUUUAAAUGUCUCUUAUGCUCUUACCACACCAGUAUAUCUGAGUCAUGAGGUAUUCUCCUCCUAAGAAACUAUCAGAGACCAACAGCUGACAGUCUUGACUCUUAAGCAAAGAAUAACCCUUUAAAAAAACUGAAACAGGAGGCAAUGAGGCAAUGAGAGUCUCUUCAAGAAUUGAUGUCAUAGACAUAGGUAUCAGAUAUUUUAAUGCUUAUAUGCUUCCUUUAAAACAAAAAAAAAGGAACCAAUUCAGAGAAAUGGGGAAUUAAAAAUGGUGUGCUGUUGUGUUAUUAUUUUUUGUUGUUGAAUAAAGCGUUCCUUAACUCUG
Long non-coding RNA from Notolabrus celidotus (New Zealand spotty), 1253 nucleotides. RefSeq lists it as uncharacterized. The transcript is spliced from 3 exons. NCBI's taxonomy places the organism in Eukaryota, Metazoa, Chordata, Actinopteri, Labriformes, Labridae. The record is from RefSeq and is a predicted model, not a curated record.